ACGUAGGCUCCAAGCGUUGUUCGGAAUUACUGGGCGUAAAGCGAGUGUAGGCGGUCCGUCAAGUCGAUUGUGAAAUCUCCCGGCUCAACUGGGAGGGUGCGGUCGAAACUGACGGACUAGAGUUCGGGAGAGGAGAGUGGAAUUCCUGGUGUAGCGGUGAAAUGCGUAGAUAUCAGGAGGAACACCGGUGGUGAAGACGGCUCUCUGGACCGAUACUGACGCUGAGACUCGAAAGCGUGGGUAGCAAACAGG
This 252-nucleotide ribosomal RNA is filed under the name uncultured bacterium. RNAcentral's name for it is "partial 16S ribosomal RNA". It matches the Rfam family "Bacterial small subunit ribosomal RNA", at positions 525 to 776 of the family's 1533-position model. The record is from RNAcentral.